UCCCCCUGGCGAUGGACAAAGAGACUCCUUGGUGGUGGUGGUCUUAUACCAGUCAGGGGCAGAGCAGAUGGCAGUUCUUUGUUCAUCCUAGCUUGAUGCCUGGCUUGGUGGACAAAGCUGUUUUAUACCUAGGAUGCAUAA
Small nucleolar RNA from Arvicanthis niloticus (Nile rat), 141 nucleotides. RefSeq annotates it as small nucleolar RNA SNORA48. The record is from RefSeq and is a predicted model, not a curated record. NCBI's taxonomy places the organism in Eukaryota, Metazoa, Chordata, Mammalia, Rodentia, Muridae.